Molecule: unclassified non-coding RNA, 376 nt
Filed under: soil metagenome
Description: partial contains 5.8S ribosomal RNA, internal transcribed spacer 2, and large subunit ribosomal RNA
Rfam family: 5.8S ribosomal RNA (bases 1-120)
Source: RNAcentral
GAUGAAGAACGCAGCGAAAUGCGAUAAGUAAUGUGAAUUGCAGAAUUCAGUGAAUCAUCGAAUCUUUGAACGCAUCUUGCGCUCCUUGGUAUUCUGAGGAGCAUGCCUGUUUGAGUGUCAUUAAAUUCUCAACUACACUGACUUUGAAUUGGUGUGGCUUGGAUUUGGGGGGAAAAUUGUUGUGGGCUUUUUGUAUAGUCUGCUCCCCUGAAAUUGAUUAGCGGUACCUUUGUGGAACUGUCUACAGGUGUGAUAAUUAUCUACAUCUUAGACAUCUGCUGGAAUGCUGUUUUCUAAACCUUACUUGUAUUGACAAUCUUGACCUCAAAUCAGGUAGGACUACCCGCUGAACUUAAGCAUAUCAAUAAGCGGAGGA